Molecule: ribosomal RNA, 77 nt
Filed under: Clostridium baratii
Lineage: Bacteria; Bacillati; Bacillota; Clostridia; Eubacteriales; Clostridiaceae
Description: partial 23S ribosomal RNA
Rfam family: Bacterial large subunit ribosomal RNA
Source: RNAcentral
GGUUGAUAGGUCAGAGGUGUAAGCAUGGUAACAUGUUCAGCUGACUGAUACUAAUAGGUCGAGGGCUUGACCAAUAA